GGUCAUGGAUCAGCGGUAAAGCGUUUGCCUAGCAUGUAUGAAGCCCUGGGUUCGAUCCUCAGCACCA
RNAcentral lists this transfer RNA (67 nucleotides) under Marmota monax (woodchuck). Its description in RNAcentral is "tRNA.Ala". The record is from RNAcentral. Lineage: Eukaryota; Metazoa; Chordata; Mammalia; Rodentia; Sciuridae.